Long non-coding RNA from Poecile atricapillus (Black-capped chickadee), 462 nucleotides. RefSeq lists it as uncharacterized. Lineage: Eukaryota; Metazoa; Chordata; Aves; Passeriformes; Paridae. The record is from RefSeq and is a predicted model, not a curated record. The transcript is spliced from 3 exons.
CAGGAAGCACAGGGAUAUGGAGCAAACAGUGACAAUCCGCCAAUUCCAUCUGUAAAUGUAUGGACUCAGGAGACAGGCUAUCAUCUCUUGGAGGAAGCAGUUAUGGGACAGUGUGUGUCAGCUGGAAGAUGAAGGGCUCUGUGCUCCUUUAAAGAGGAGAAUAAACCCCUUUUCCAUUUCUCCAAGUUCUUCUGAAAUGCUUGUUUGGCAGUUGUUGAGAAGACAGAAGAAGGCCCGGGUGGAGAACUUCCCCGUGAAGUACUUCCUCUGGCUUGCAUUUUCCUUGUUCUUGCUCCACACUAUGGGCUAGGUACAACACAAAUCAAGAUGCUGGGAGAUAGCUACACAAUUUUGGAGGGUACCUAGUUAUAAAGAACUUGAUGCAAGAUGAAGUUUUCAUUUUGUAUGCUUAAAAGUUAGCUUUUCAAGACUUUUGUAUGUAAAUACAAGGAAGCCUACACA